RNAcentral lists this ribosomal RNA (254 nucleotides) under uncultured bacterium. RNAcentral's name for it is "partial 16S ribosomal RNA". It matches the Rfam family "Bacterial small subunit ribosomal RNA", at positions 524 to 776 of the family's 1533-position model. The record is from RNAcentral.
UACGAGAGGCCCAAACGUUAUUCGGAUUUACUGGGCUUAAAGAGUUCGUAGGCGGCUCAGUUAGUCGGGUGUGAAACCCCCGGGCUCAACCCGGGGACGCCACCCGAUACUGCUGUGGCUAGAGUCCGGUAGGGGAGCGUGGAAUUCCUGGUGUAGCGGUGAAAUGCGCAGAUAUCAGGAGGAACACCAGCGGCGAAGGCGGCGCUCUGGGCCGGAACUGACGCUGAGGAGCGAAAGCGUGGGGAGAGAACGGG